This 571-nucleotide ribosomal RNA is filed under the name uncultured Glomeromycotina. RNAcentral's name for it is "SSU rRNA". It matches the Rfam family "Eukaryotic small subunit ribosomal RNA", at positions 548 to 1114 of the family's 1831-position model. Lineage: Eukaryota; Fungi; Glomeromycota. The record is from RNAcentral.
UUGGAGGGCAAGUCUGGUGCCAGCAGCCGCGGUAAUUCCAGCUCCAAUAGCGUAUAUUAAAGUUGUUGCAGUUAAAAAGCUCGUAGUUGAAUUUCGGGAUUGACACAUCGGUCGUGCCUUAAGGGGUAUGAACUGGUGUAGUCAAUUUCUCACCUUCUGGAGAACCGCGAUGCCCUUAAUUGGGUGUCGCGGGGAACCAGGACCUUUACUUUGAAAAAAUUAGAGUGUUUAAAGCAGGCAUUUUGCUUGAAUACAUUAGCAUGGAAUAAUAAAAUAGGACGGCAUGAUUCUAUUUUGUUGAUUUCUAGGAUCACCGUAAUGAUUAAUAGGGAUAGUUGGGGGCAUUAGUAUUCAAUUGUCAGAGGUGAAAUUCUUGGAUUUAUUGAAGACUAACUACUGCGAAAGCAUUUGCCAAGGAUGUUUUCAUUAAUCAAGAACGAAAGUUAGGGGAUCGAAGACGAUCAGAUACCGUCGUAGUCUUAACCAUAAACUAUGCCGACUAGGAAUCAGACGAUGUUAAUUUUUUAAUGACUCGUUUGGCACCUUACGGGAAACCAAAGUGUUUGGGUUC